CCAUUUCUGUUCUGCACGGGGCCUGCUCAGCUGGACACUUUAUACAAAAAAUCUAUGCAUUAUUUUGAAUCAAGCUCAAAAGGAGGCCUUGCUACCUGAAGGUACAGACACUCAGACGUUCAGCCUUUCACAGUUGAAGUGCUUUUACAGACUGUCGUCGAUGGAGUAGCCACCAUGGAGGUUAAGGAGCCCGUAUGAGGGUGAUGCUCUCUGCACACUCCGAUUGAAGAUUUGAAGACCUGAUGGACCGUGCGUGUUAGGAGGGGGCAGGUGCAAGGUACAAGCGAAGAAGAAGCUGGUGAAGAGCUAAUAAAGAAAAGAGCGGUUUUAACUCCCAAGAAAGUGGAGCAUUCAAGAGAUGAAUCAAGAACGAAAUCAGGAAAUAGCAAACAGAUCAUCAGCGAGGGGACUGCAAUGGCUCUGAACUCAGUACCCUGAAGCUGAGGUUUAAGGAGAGGCUUCGAGCAGAAGCCAGGCUGUGAAGAUUGCAGUAGAGAGAAUACA
Molecule: long non-coding RNA, 504 nt
Organism: Bos indicus x Bos taurus (hybrid cattle)
Lineage: Eukaryota; Metazoa; Chordata; Mammalia; Artiodactyla; Bovidae
Source: Ensembl